This 210-nucleotide unclassified non-coding RNA is filed under the name Hevea brasiliensis (rubber tree). Lineage: Eukaryota; Viridiplantae; Streptophyta; Magnoliopsida; Malpighiales; Euphorbiaceae. The record is from RNAcentral.
GCAGUGGAGGCGGUCCCAUACUUGUUCAACCUUAAGGGUUCUGAGGACCCAAAUACUGAAUUUAAACUUUGGGAGCAUGGGGGACCAAUAACAUCUCUUGCAUUGGACCUCAUGAGGAUUUACAGUGGCUCUUGGGACAUGACUGUUCGUGUAUGGGAUCGUUCUUCUCUGAAGUGCUUAAAGGUCUUGAGACAUAGUGACUGGGUAUGG